GGGGUAAUGGCCUACCAAGGCAACGACGGGUAGCUGGUCUGAGAGGAUGAUCAGCCACACUGGGACUGAGACACGGCCCAGACUCCUACGGGAGGCAGCAGUGGGGAAUCUUGCGCAAUGGGCGAAAGCCUGACGCAGCAACGCCGCGUGCGGGAUGAAGGCCUUCGGGCUGUAAACCGCUUUCAGCAGGAACGAAAAUGACGGUACCUGCAGAAGAAGGAGCGGCCAACUACGUGCCAGCAGCCGCGGUGACACGUAGGCUCCAAGCGUUGUCCGGAUUUAUUGGGCGUAAAGAGCUCGUAGGCGGUUGAGUAAGUCGGGUGUGAAAACUCUGGGCUUAACCCGGAGACGCCAUCCGAUACUGCUCUGGCUAGAGUUCAGGAGGGGAGUGGGGAAUUCCUAGUGUAGCGGUGAAAUGCGCAGAUAUUAGGAGGAACACCGGUGGCGAAGGCGCCACUCUGGACUGAAACUGACGCUGAGGAGCGAAAGCAUGGGUAGCAAACAGGAUUAGAUACCCUGGUAGUCCAUGCCGUAAACGGUGGGCACUAGGUGUGGGUUCCAACUAACGGGAUCCGCGCCGUCGCUAACGCAUUAAGUGCCCCGCCUGGGGAG
Molecule: ribosomal RNA, 612 nt
Filed under: uncultured bacterium
Lineage: Bacteria
Description: bacterial SSU rRNA
Rfam family: Bacterial small subunit ribosomal RNA
Source: RNAcentral